This 440-nucleotide small RNA is filed under the name Histoplasma capsulatum var. duboisii H88. RNAcentral's name for it is "Histoplasma capsulatum H88 hypothetical RNA". The record is from RNAcentral. Lineage: Eukaryota; Fungi; Ascomycota; Eurotiomycetes; Onygenales; Ajellomycetaceae.
CAUCCAUUGGGAGGCCCACUGAGCGACCGGCAGCGGUAAGAUACUACAUGCCCAGACAUCGAAGUGUGACAGCAUAUCUGCCACCAAUCCACUCAUCUCUCAGAACGCCCUUCCCAGAGGUUUAGCUGAUGCGCUAGUCAUGGAAUCGGUUUUUACUUUGGUCGCUCCAGUUAUCCAUCUGACGAAAAGGUCAGACGAAAUCUGAUGCCAUUCCAGGCCUCCCGCUAUCCGGCAAUAUGGACAGGCGAUUCCCACAAACAGCUGUCUCAGUGUGAAAGUCUUUGAAAGAGGACGUAGGAACGCCAGUGCACGUGGUCCAUUGCAAGAUUCCGCUCCGGGUAUCACCGCUCCGCUUGGCGCAGAGUAUUAACCCUAACGCUCAGGCCCCGAUCGCUUACCACGAGGGAAAGGAUGACAACCCGUGGCAUUCGAAACCCACC